GGUGGCUCAAUGGUAGAGUGCUUGCCUUGCAUGUAUGAGGCUCUGGGUUCCAUUCCCCAGAACCA
Molecule: transfer RNA, 65 nt
Filed under: Dipodomys ordii (Ord's kangaroo rat)
Lineage: Eukaryota; Metazoa; Chordata; Mammalia; Rodentia; Heteromyidae
Rfam family: tRNA
About the family: Transfer RNA (tRNA) molecules are approximately 80 nucleotides in length. Their secondary structure includes four short double-helical elements and three loops (D, anti-codon, and T loops).
Source: Rfam by way of RNAcentral